CCUACGGGUGGCAGCAGUGAGGAAUAUUGAUCAAUGGGCGCAAGCCUGAACCAGCCAAGUCGCGUGAGGGAAGACGGCCCUACGGGUUGUAAACCUCUUUUGCCGGGGAGCAAGCCUGAGCACGUGUGCCCAGGCGGAGAGUACCCGGAGAAAAAGCAUCGGCUAACUCCGUGCCAGCAGCCGCGGUAAUACGGAGGUUGCGAGCGUUAUCCGGAUUUAUUGGGUUUAAGGGGUGCGCAGGCGGGCUGUUAAGCCGGCGGUAAAAAUUCAGGGCUCAACCCUGUCGAGCCGUCGGAACUGGCAGUCUUGAGUGUGCGAGAAGUAUGCGGAAUGCGUGGUGUAGCGGUGAAAUGCUUAGAUAGGACGAAGAACCCCGAUUGCGAAGGCAGCUUGCUGCAGCGGAACUGACGCUGAUGCUCGAAAGCGCGGGUAUCGAACAGGAUUAGAUACCCGUGUAGUC
RNAcentral lists this ribosomal RNA (460 nucleotides) under uncultured bacterium. RNAcentral's name for it is "partial 16S ribosomal RNA". It matches the Rfam family "Bacterial small subunit ribosomal RNA", at positions 338 to 795 of the family's 1533-position model. The record is from RNAcentral.